AUUGAACGCUAGCGGGAUGCUUUACACAUGCAAGUCGAACGGCAGCGCGGACUUCGGUCUGGCGGCGAGUGGCGAACGGGUGAGUAAUGUAUCGGAACGUGCCCAGUAGCGGGGGAUAACUACGCGAAAGCGUAGCUAAUACCGCAUACGCCCUACGGGGGAAAGCAGGGGAUCGUAAGACCUUGCACUAUUGGAGCGGCCGAGAUCGGAUUAGCUAGUUGGUGGGGUAACGGCUCACCAAGGCGACGAUCCGUAGCUGGUUUGAGAGGACGACCAGCCACACUAGGACUGAGACACGGCCCAGACUCCUACGGGAGGCAGCAGUGGGGAAUGUUAGACAAUGGGGGCAACCCUGAUCCAGCCAUCCCGCGUGUGGGAUAAAGGCCCUCGGGUUGUAAAGCACUUUUGGCAGGAAAGAAAAGCCGCGGGCUAAUACCCCGUGGAACUGACGGUACCUGAAGAAUAAGCACCGGCUAACUACGUG
RNAcentral lists this ribosomal RNA (484 nucleotides) under uncultured bacterium. Its description in RNAcentral is "partial 16S ribosomal RNA". It matches the Rfam family "Bacterial small subunit ribosomal RNA", at positions 29 to 507 of the family's 1533-position model. The record is from RNAcentral.